Molecule: ribosomal RNA, 253 nt
Filed under: uncultured bacterium
Lineage: Bacteria
Description: partial 16S ribosomal RNA
Rfam family: Bacterial small subunit ribosomal RNA
Source: RNAcentral
UACAGAGGUCUCAAGCGUUGUUCGGAUUCAUUGGGCGUAAAGGGCGCGUAGGCGGGCACGCAAGUCAGGGGUGAAAGCCCACGGCUCAACCGUGGAAGGGCCUUUGAUACUGCGUGCCUGGAGGGAGGUAGGGGCGUGCGGAACUUCCGGUGGAGCGGUGAAAUGCGUAGAUAUCAGGAGGAACACCUGUGGUGUAGACGGCUUUCUGGACCAUAACUGACGCUGAGACACGAAAGCGUGGGUAGCAAACAGG